RNAcentral lists this ribosomal RNA (1542 nucleotides) under Actinomadura sp. SBSK-502. Its description in RNAcentral is "bacterial SSU rRNA". It matches the Rfam family "Bacterial small subunit ribosomal RNA". Lineage: Bacteria; Bacillati; Actinomycetota; Actinomycetes; Streptosporangiales; Thermomonosporaceae. The record is from RNAcentral.
UAGAGAUUCAGAGUUUGAUCCUGGCUCAGGACGAACGCUGGCGGCGUGCUUAACACAUGCAAGUCGAGCGGACAGGCCCCUUCGGGGGUACUCGAGCGGCGAACGGGUGAGUAACACGUGAGCAACCUGCCCCUGACUCUGGGAUAAGCCCGGGAAACCAGGUCUAAUACCGGAUACGACCCGCCUCCUCAUGGUGUGCGCGUGGAUAGAUUCAUCGGUCGGGGAUGGGCUCGCGGCCUAUCAGCUUGUUGGUGGGGUAACGGCCUACCAAGGCGACGACGGGUAACCGGCCUGAGAGGGCGACCGGUCACACUGGGACUGAGACACGGCCCAGACUCCUACGGGAGGCAGCAGUGGGGGAAUAUUGCGCACUGGGCUGGAAGCCUGACGCAGCGACGCCGCGUGAGGGAUGAUGACGGCCUUCGGGUUGUAAACCUCUUUCAGCAGGGACGAAGCUAACGUGACGGUACCUGCAGAAGAAGCGCCGGCUAACUACGUGCCAGCAGCCGCGGUAAUACGUAGGGCGCAAGUUGUCCGGAAUUAUUGGGCGUAAAGAGCUCGUAGGCGGUCUGUCGCGUCCCGUCGUGACAAGCCCACGGCCUUAAACCCGUGCGGUCUGCGGGUGGGCAUACGGGCAGACUAGAGGCAGGGUAGCGGAGAAUGGAAUUGCCCGGUGUAGCGGUGAAAUGCGCAGAUAUCGGGAGGAACACCGGUGGCGAAGGCGGUUCUCUGGGCCUGUUACUGACGCUGAGGAGCGAAAGCGUGGUGAGCGAACAGGAUUAGAUACCCUGGUAGUCCACGCCGUAAACGUUGGGCGCUAGUGUGGGGUUCUUCCACGGAUUCCGCGCCGUAGCUAACGCAUUAAGCGCCCCGCCUGAUGAGUACGGCCGCAAGGCUACAACUCAAAGGAAUUGACGGCGGCCCGCACAAGCGGCCGGAGCAUGUUGCUUAAUUCGACGCAACGCGAAGAACCUUACCAAGGCUUGACAUCGCCGGAAAUCCAUCAGAGAUGGUGGGUCCUUGUUGGGCCGGUGACAGGUGGUGCAUGGCUGUCGUCAGCUCGUGUCGUGAGAUGUUGGGUUAAGUCCCGCAACGAGCGCAACCCUCGUUCCAUGUUGCCAGCACGUAGUGGUGGGGACUCAUGGGAGACCGCCGGGGUCAACUCGGAGGAAGGUGGGGAUGACGUCAAGUCAUGCCCCUUAUGUCUUGGGCUGAAACAUGCUACAAUGGCCGGUACAGAGGGCUGCGAUACCGUGAGGUGGAGCGAAUCCCUUAAAGCCGGUCUCAGUUCGGAUCGAAUCGAAGUCUGCAACUCGACUUCGUGAAGUCGGAGUCGCUAGUAAUCGCAGAUCAGCAACGCUGCGGUGAAUACGUUCCCGGGCCUUGUACACACCGCCCGUCACGUCACGAAAGUCGGCAACACCCGAAGCCCGUGGCCCAACCACCUUGUGUGGUGGAGCGGUCGAAGGUGGGGCCGGCGAUUGGCGACGAAGUCGUAACAAGGUAGCCGUACCGGAAGGUGCGGCUGGAUCACCUCCUAAU